UGCAAGACAAACAAAAAACAAAAAACAUCUUUUCUUUUCUUUGCUUGUGUUUACAGUUCAACAAUCUGGGCAGCUCUUGCGCAUGGUUUACUCAAGACGAGGUACACAACAGAUUGGCCUACUAUUCUAGAUUAUCUUUCGACUCAUCGUUUCAGCCGGGUGGAAGAAUUUCUCACAAAAUACAUAGUCCAAGCUACAGUCUAUGCGAUUUGGAGAGAAAGAAAUAAUCGAAGACAUGGAGAGAAUCCCCAAACCGCGCAACGCAUUAUUGGAUGGGUGGAUAAACAAAUACGGAACAGAAUUUCAGCGAUUCGACUUGCAGGAGAUAGGCGGUACGAUGACGCCUUCCAAUUUUGGCUCCAAGCCAAGAUUUAGCUUAUGCCAUUGUUUUGAAACUUAUUUUUUUUCAGCUUUUUCUCAAAUAUUCGAUGCACU
Molecule: small RNA, 435 nt
Filed under: Arabidopsis thaliana (thale cress)
Lineage: Eukaryota; Viridiplantae; Streptophyta; Magnoliopsida; Brassicales; Brassicaceae
Description: putative long intergenic non-coding RNA
Source: RNAcentral